This is a long non-coding RNA of Aethalodelphis obliquidens (Pacific white-sided dolphin), 736 nucleotides long. RefSeq lists it as uncharacterized. The transcript has 4 exons. NCBI's taxonomy places the organism in Eukaryota, Metazoa, Chordata, Mammalia, Artiodactyla, Delphinidae. The record is from RefSeq and is a predicted model, not a curated record.
UACUUCCCCCUUAGGCGGAGGGAAGAAUAUAGGGAAGCUUGGUUAAUAUCAGAGUUAAAGGGAAUGGUUGUCGGAGGCAGAGGUUCUGAAGUUCACGACUCCUAGAAGGGGAGGGGAAUGAAAGGCUCUCAGUGAAGAAGCUGUCUCGUGUCUUCUUCCAGCAUGACAGUUUGACUGAACAGGACAGCCUCAUCAGAACUGUGUACAGAAUUGUGAGACCAGCAUUCACACAAGAGACCCAUGUACAUAUCCUUCAUUUUAUUUGACAAAUACUUAUGUAACCAGGCAGGUAUCCUUCUAAGAGUUUGUGAAUAUAAACUCAUUUAAGCCAUGAGCACAGUACCUGGCACACACUAGGCACUAAACAAAUAGUUAUUGAAUGAAGAAUGAAGAGAACAAAAGGCAUUAAAUUCUUAGAUGACACCAAACGAAGGAGUAGGAAUGGCGAAAGUGGUCUGGAACCGAACCUGCAGUAUCUCAGAGGUCUGCCUGUGACUUAAAAGAAUUUUAUCUUUUCAACAGAUGAAUUUAAGACCCACUGAAAUCCAUUAUUUGGAAAAUAUUUAAACAAAUAAAAAAUUGUUUCCAAAAUUUUUAAGCGUGCAUAUAUUAGUUUUAAUAGGACACAUGCACUGUUUUUUGCAACAAAAUUACAUUUUUCCAAAUGCUUUUAAGCCCAAGCAUCUUGAAUACUAUGAUAGAAGAUAAAGAGUUUCCACAAUGACUCCCCAUCUCA